This 369-nucleotide ribosomal RNA is filed under the name Limosilactobacillus mucosae. RNAcentral's name for it is "bacterial SSU rRNA". It matches the Rfam family "Bacterial small subunit ribosomal RNA", at positions 1 to 339 of the family's 1533-position model. The record is from RNAcentral. Lineage: Bacteria; Bacillati; Bacillota; Bacilli; Lactobacillales; Lactobacillaceae.
AGUAGUUUGAUCAUGGCUCAGGAUGAACGCCGGCGGUGUGCCUAAUACAUGCAAGUCGAACGCGUUGGCCCAACUGAUUGAACGUGCUUGCACGGACUUGACGUUGGUUUACCAACGAGUGGCGGACGGGUGAGUAACACGUAGGUAACCUGCCCCAAAGCGGGGGAUAACAUUUGGAAACAGAUGCUAAUACCGCAUAACAAUUUGAAUCGCAUGAUUCAAAUUUAAAAGAUGGCUUCGGCUAUCACUUUGGGAUGGACCUGCGGCGCAUUAGCUUGUUGGUAGGGUAACGGCCUACCAAGGCUGUGAUGCGUAGCCGAGUUGAGAGACUGAUCGGCCACAAUGGAACUGAGACACGGUCCAUACUCC